AGAUAAGCUGUGUAUUUUAUGAUAGAUAAUGCAUUUAUCAACACUUUUCUCUUUUAUUUUUAAAAGACACUCAGUAUAAAUAUAAAAAAGAAGAUGUGGUAUGAUUGCCAAUGAGACAACUAUCCACAAAAGACCAAAAUGACACAGACAUUAACAACUAUAGGUCACCGUACGGCCUUCAAUAAUGAGCAAAGCCCAUACCGCA
This 205-nucleotide long non-coding RNA is filed under the name Mytilus galloprovincialis (Mediterranean mussel). The record is from RNAcentral. Lineage: Eukaryota; Metazoa; Mollusca; Bivalvia; Mytilida; Mytilidae.